This 7549-nucleotide long non-coding RNA is filed under the name Theobroma cacao (cacao). Its description in RNAcentral is "long non-coding RNA (TCAC_LNC000538)". The record is from RNAcentral. Lineage: Eukaryota; Viridiplantae; Streptophyta; Magnoliopsida; Malvales; Malvaceae.
UGGCCGGCCAAAGAAGAACAAAGGAGGAAAGGAAAAAAACAAGAACCCUAGGUGGGAAAAUUGAAGAAAAAGUGUGGGAUUUCAAGGGAUUAAGCUAAUAAAGGUAAAAUUUCUUGAUUUUGACUUGUGAUUUACACUACCCAUGCUUUCUUUUUCAUUUUCCAUGGUUAGAUUUCAUGUUUUCAUGGUGAAUUCAUGGCUGGUUGGAAUGGGUAUGGAGAGAGAAUGAAGUUGGAUUGAUUUGAUUCUAAGUUAUGUUAGUGUUUUUAGUUAGUUUAUCAUGUCUAGAAACAAACCAACAAGAAAAAUUCAUUUUCUCCCAUUACCCAUCAUUGGCCGAAUUUUCUAGGGAGGAUAUUGUGGCUGAAAUUGAUGAUAUUUCAUGAUAUUUUGGUGAUAUUUGAUGUUUGGUGAGGCUAAAAAUUAAAUGGGAAAUUUUGGUGUGAAAAUCUAAAUUUUUGUUUAACGUAUAGAUAUGUGUGAUUAUUGACCCAAUACUAAUAAAUUGAAUCUCAUUCACAGUCAUUGAGGUAAUUUAGGUAUAAUUGGAGUAUUAAAAGUGAGAAGAAUUGAUUUGAAGUUAUAUUGGAGAUUUUAGCCGAUUAGACCGAGUAUAGUGUGACUUAGGUCGAAUAUCACAUUUAAGUGAUUAAUCGGAUAUUUUUGCAUCCCAUUGCAUGCAUUCAUUUAGAUUUAGAGAGCCUGAAAUAGUUUAUGAUAAAUUGACACAAUUUAUUGAAAUUCGUGUCAGUAUGAUGUAUAGGUGGUAAGCCCUCUAACAAGGGUAAAGAGAUUGUACCCGAAGAUCGAGAAUAGGAGUAUAUUGAACUCCUAAUAUAGUGAGUAACCUUACUAUCGUCUUAAUUAUCUAGAGUGGUUUUUAUUCGAUUUUGUAGAUUUUAUGGAAAAUGAGUUUAAAUGGCAAAUCUUUUUGUUUUACAAACAAAACGUGUUUAAAUAAAAUGAUUUUAUAAAUUGUCUUGAAAUUGAAUGAUGACUUUGAAAAUAGAGUAACUGGAGACCACUUGAGGUGUUGUAAAUUCAUGGUUUGAAUUGACUGGCUUAUGACAAUAUUUGUAUGAAUGGUUGAAUUGGUAUUUGUGUUGAAAUAUAUGAACUGUGUAUUUAGCCUUGAAAGGCUGUGAAUUACAAUAAUUGCCAUAUCAUGUUAUUGAAUUUUAUUGAUUGGUGGGAUAAUGAUGAGCUUACUGCAGUGGGCGGGUUUUCGUGGACCAGCCUAUUAGAGGGGCACGGUAAACCCCGUUAUAUCUUACCUCGGUAUGAGAGGCGCGAGUGGAUAACUCAUGAGGCUAACACUUUUAGAGUUCACUUCACGCCAAACCACCACAUGAGGGUGAACUCAGCCAACGCCAAGGAACGACUAUGUUUUCAAAAUAAAAACAUAAUUUAUGCGUACAUGACUUUUUAACAGCCUUGGUGGACUCGGUUAGGAUAGCCCUCAAUCAAGGCAUCCCUGAUAACUGAGUAUGAGAAUGAUUUUUGGCACGAACCAAGCUUUUCAGGAAAUCAUAAGCCUAGUUGUUUAUUGGUUGAAAUAAGUUGAAAGGUAAUGAAAUUACAGUAUGAUGAUUUAUUUUAAUUGUCUCUAUUUACUCAGUUUUAGAUAUUUUAAAUGGUAUUUGUUUACUCACUGGGAUUAUAUAAUCUCACCACCCUCAUUUCCACCCAUUUCAGACUUAGGAUAGUGUGUAGAUAGCUGAUAUCGUCGAAGGCUAUAGUCGGCUUUACUACUCCAAAAAUUGUAGGUUUACUGCCUUUGUGCACUUUUGUUCCUUGUGGGCCCACGAGUCACUGUAAAGUAAAUUUCAUAUCCCGGUUAUCUGUAUUGUAGUACAUAUAAAUUUAUUUAGCUUUUUCAUUACAAAAAAAAUUAAUUACCGAUGAAUCUAUAAAUAUUGUUUUACAAGAAAUUAGAAUAUUUUAUUGAAUAUUUUUAUUUUAUUCAAAUAGUUGCAAUAUCAUUUUUAAUAAAUGUUUUAGACACUCAAAUUUAUUUUAAAUCAUGAAAUAUGUGUUUUUCACUCAUCUACUACAUUUUUAGUCGGGUUUGAAAAAUUUUGAGGAAAAAUGACGAAAACGCCAUUGUGAGGUAAAAAUUAUUUUUCCCCGAUUUUGAAAGGGAAAAAGCUUAAAAUUCUUUAAAAAUGAGGUUUGGCGAUGAUUACUCACAAGGGAGAUGAGAAAAAUUGUACUAAAGCCUUGCGGGGUUCCGAUUGGCAUUUCGGGUAACGAAUGUCUACUAGGACGUCGCGACUGUUGUCACGGGCUUGAAAGUAGUACCGGGUCAUGAUAAUUUUAUUAAUAUUAGAGCUUUUGGCUUUAAAGAUAAGAGUUUUUGGUUUUCAAGUUAUUUUGAAAACUAUAGUGUCAGUGUGGCCCAAGUUAAGUUAAGUUAAGUUAGGUUUGAUAAAAUAGAAUACAUGCAUCUGCAUAUAGAAUUUGGAGUUGUUUAGACUCGUUUUAUUUCUUCUUAUAGAUCUUAUGGGAGCAUAAGUCAUAGACAAGGAGCUAUAUGAACUCUUGUUCCCAAUAAUCCACUUCUUUGUUAAUGUCAUGCAAAGGUCAUAAGUAGGGCCGUUGUCCGGAUUUAAGAUGCUACCCGUGACACGAGCCAGUGUUAGAGAGUUCUUAAAACGAAUGCUCUUAAUGAAAGAUUAAUGAAAUGAUAUAUACCUCCGAUUAAGGAUGAAAAAAUUUGGAGUUGGACUAAUAGGUCGUAAUAAUUUAUUCAUUUGGGGGAGUUAUAAUUGAACUCAUGGUUGUCAAUUGGAAAAAGAUUUAGGGACUAUGAGAUUUCAAGAAUUGUUUGGACCUAUUAUAGUUCAUGGAUAUAAGCACGUGAAUUAACUCGAGAGUGAGUAUCAAUGAUUACUAUAAUUGAUGUGAGGUCAUGAAGUAAGAAGCUAGUUAACAGAUCUGCUCUAAGGAUGAGCUUGAACUUAGCUAUGCAUAGAAAAAAAGAGAGCCAAGGGAUUAAAUGACUAAAUUUGGAAUUGGCAGCUUGAGGUUAAAUGACUUGGAAAUGUUGAAUCUAUUCUAAAUGGCAUAUGAAGUUUUAUAAUUAAGACUGAUUACGAAUUACUUGAAAGAUCAAUUUAAAAGUUUAUUCGGUUCAAAGUGUGGCCUAUGAUACGAAUGAUCAGUCUUGAAGGUGAUCUCCCCAGAGUAAGAAAUUUAGAAAAUGUUGAUGCUGGAUAUACUCUAAGAGAGAGAACUUCUGCAUCCUAAGUUUAAGACAACUUUGAUCUUAUAAUUGCAAAGGCAAGGUGUAAUAACUAAGUAAAUUUUUCGCUUAACAAAUGUGAUUGGUUAUUGGUGGAUAAAGUCAAGAUCUUAACAUUUAGUGGUGUACAAUUUGAUAAUUAUGUAUUUAAGAGUUAUUUGGAGACAAUUCCUUCAUCAAAUUUGCACUAAAUGCUAUGGUAAAGGCAUAUCAAUGUUAAUAUGGAAAUGUAUCCAGGAAUGAUCUUAACAUAUCACCAAAGGAGAAUUAAACAUGUUGAAAUUAAUGUUCUAAUAGUGUGCAUAUGAUCGAAAGCUAGUUUGUAAGUUGUAGUUUUCAUGAUCAUGAAAUAUAUAAAGAUUAUCAAUAUAUGGACAUACAUUUGGAGUUGUAAUUUACAAGUUUGGAGUAUUUAAGAUAUGAUUAAAUGGAAUUGGCAUUAAUUAAGGUACGUAAAUCUUCUAAUUAAAUUUUGUGGAGUAUGCAUGAUAGUAGAAUAGAGGAAUAUAGUGCCGUGAUACUAUACGGUGAAGUUACUAUACAAUAUAGAAAGAGUGUUCUAAAGUGAGAUUUAUUUACUGAUGAUAAGUGAUGGCCAAUCUGAGAUACAUGUAGUUAUUAAUAAAUUUGGAGAUUUUUUCUUGAGCAAACUCGUACUAAAUGUUAUGGUAAAGAUAUAUGAAUGUUAGUGGAAAAAUAAAUACGUUAAAUCAAUGUUCUAAUCGCACAUUUGUGAUAGAAAGUUAGUCUUGUUAAUUGUGGUAUAGACUCAGAGGGAAGCCACACGAUUGUGAAUAAUUGAGGUAGUAGUUUUAAAGGUGGAAGAGUUGUUGGGAUAAAGUGAAUUCAAACUGUUGUAACGCCACAAUACUGACUAUCAAACUCUGUCACGUUAAGAACCCCUAAUGGCUAGAAAGCAAGAGUAAACUGUAAGCAGCAUAAAGAUGAAACUCACGAGUUGAAACAUGGUUAUUGGUUUUGAUGCUAAGCUUUGUUGUUGGAGUCUUAAGUGCAUUGGGGAGGUAUUAAGAUAAAGAUGAUGAGUGAAAUUGCAGAGUUUCUUUAUUGCCUUAUAUAUGGGCAUGUAAGAAAAAGAAAAGUUAGAGAGUUUUUGAGAUGGCUACAUAAAAAAAAUAAAUUAACAUGUGGAGUGUUAAAAGGAAUGAUAUGUUGACUAAAGUCAAAUCUUCAUAAAUUAAGUGAAUCUUAUAAAAGGUUAAAGAGGAAGUGAAGGAAAGGUUAGAUGAUUAUAUGAGAUGUUGAUAAGAGAUGUCAAUACCAAGUGAUGAGAGUGUGAAUGGAGAUUUCAAGAAUGAUAUAGCAAAUGAGUUUAUAUAGAAUAUUGUUAUGAGAAUGUAAUAAUCUUGUCUUGACUUUGUUGAAAGGAAAGGAUUAGUGACAACACAAGUAAAUUACGGGGUAUGAUAGAAAUCCUUGGAGAUAAGUUGAAGCAUGAGUAGUUGGGCAUGCCUUUAUGGAAAUGAUAUACUUGGAGUAUGAAAGAGUAAAUAAGUGAUUAAGUGUUUCAAGAAUAUUUAAACAUAUUUGAGGAAAAAUUAUAAAAUUUUACGAGAUUAGUAUGAGAUGUGUGAUUUUGAAAUUUGCUAAGGAGCCAAAUGGCUAAGUCACAAGUUAAGUGAUCAUAUGCUGUGAGACAUAAGUCUAAGGUAGAUAUUCCCAAGGAAAUACUCAAGAAGAGUUUUGUUACGGAUUUUGUGGAAGCUAGCAUUAAAUUAUGUGGCUAUAAAGAGGAAGCCGUAAGUUGGAAGUGAAAUUCAUAUUGACAUUGAAAAGUACUUAGAAGAACCUUAUUUCAAGUCUUACAGUUUUAAGUACAAACUGCAGAUUGGUCUAGGGAGAAUGAUAUCACAUUAGACACAUGGCAUAUUUAUAACCAUUAAAUAUUUAGCUUUAAAAUUAAAACAAAAUCAGCCCAUUUCUUAUUGAUAUGGCCGGCCAAAGAAGAACAAAGGAGGAAACGAAAAAAACAAGAACCUUAGGUGGGAAAAUUAAAGAAAAAGUGUGGGAUUUCAAGGGAUUAAGCUAAUAAAGGUAAAAUUUCUUGAUUUUGACUUGUGAUUUACAAUACCCAUGCUUUCUUUUUCACUUUCCAUGGUUAGAUUUCAUGUUUUCAUGGUGAAUUCAUGGCUGGUUAGAAUAAGUAUGGAGAGAGAAUGAAGUUGGAUUGAUUUGAUUCUAAGUUAUGUUAGUGUUUUUAGUUAGUUUAUCAUGUCUAGAAACAAACCAACAAGAAAAAUUCAUCUUCUCCCACUACCCAUCAUUAGUCGAAUUUUCUAGGGAGGAUAUUGUGGCUGAAAUUGAUAAUUUUUCAUGAUAUUUUGGUGAUAUUUGAUGUUUGGUGAGGCUAGAAAUUAAAUGGGAAAUUUUGGUGUGAAAAUCUAAAUUUUUGCUUAACGUAUAGACAUGUGUGAUUAUUGACCCGGGACUGAUAAAUUGAAUCUCAUUCACAGUCACUAAGGUAAUUUAGGUAUAAUUGGAGUGUAGAAAGUGAGAAGAAUUGAUUUGGAGUUAAAUUGGAGAAUUUAGCUGAUUAGACCGAGUAUAGUGUGACUUAGGUCGAAUAUCACAUUUAAGUCAUUAAUCGAACAUUUUGCAUCCCAUCGCAUACAUUCAUUUAGAUUUAGAGAGCCUGAAAUAGUUUAUGAUAAAUUGACACAAUUUAUUGAAAUUCGUGUCACGUAUGAUGUAUAGGUGAUGAGCCCUCUAACAAGGGUAAAGAGAUUAUGCCCGAAGACCCGAAAUAGGAGUAUAUCGAACUCCUAGUACAGUGAGUAACCUUACUAUCAUCUUAAUUAUCUAGAAUGAUUUUUAUUCGAUUUUGUGGAUUUUAUGGAAAAUGAGUUUAAAUGGUAAAUCUUUUUGUUUUACAAACAAAACGUGUUUAAAUAAAAUGAUUUUAUAAAUUGUCUUGAAAUUGAAUGAUGACUUUGAAAAUAGAGUAACUAGAGACCACUUAAGGUGUUGUAAAUUCAUGGUUUGAAUUGAUUGACUUAUGACAAUAUUUGCAUGAAUGGCUGAAAUAGUAUUUGUGUUGAAAUAUAUGAACUGUGUAUUUAGCCUUGAAAGGCUGUGAAUUACAAUAAUUGUCAUAUCAUGUUAUUGAAUUUUAUUGAUUAGUGGGAUAAUGAUGAGCUUACUGCAGUGGGCGAGUUUUCGUGGACCAGCCUAUUAGAGGGGCAAGGUAAACCACAUUAUAUCUUACCUCGGUAUGAGAGGCACGGGUGGAUAACUCCUAAGGCUAACACUUUUAGAGUUCACUUCACGCCAAACCACCACAUGAGGGUGAACUCAGCCAACGUCAAGGAACGGCUAUGUUUUCAAAAUAAAAACCUAAUUUAUGCGUACAUGACUUUUUAACAGCCUUGGCGGACUCGGUUGGGAUGGCCCUUGAUCAAGGCAUCCCUGAUAACUGAGUAUGAGAAUGAUUUUUGGCACGAGCCAAGCUUUUCAGGAAAUCAUAAGCCUAGUUGUUUAUUUGGUUGAAAUAAUUUGAAAGGUAAUGAAAUUACAGUAUAAUGAUUUAUUUUAAUUGUCUCUAUUUACUCGGCUUUAGAUAUUUUAGAUUAUAUUUGUUUACUCACUGGGAUUAUAUAAUCUCACCACCCUCCUUUCCACUUACUUCAGGCUCAGGAUAGUGUGUAGAUAGUUGAUAUCGUCGAAGGCUAUAGUCGGCUUUACUACUCCAAAAAUUGUAAGUUUACUGCCUUUGUGCACUUUGGUUCCUUGUGGGCCCACGAGUCACUGUAAGUAAAUUUCAUAUCCCAGUUAUCUAUAUUGUAGUACGUAUGAAUUUAUUUAGCUUUUACAUUACAAAAAAAAUUAAUUACCGAUGAAUCUAUAAAUAUUGUUUUACAAGAAAUUAGAAUAUUUUAUUGAAUAUUUUUAUUUUAUUCAAAUAGUUGCAAUAUCAUUUUUAAUAAAUGUUUUAAACACUCAAAUUUAUUUUAAAUCAUGAAAUAUGUGUUUUNNNNNNUUUAUAAAAUUUAUUUUACAAGAAAAUAGUUUAUGUUAUUGAAUAUUUUUAUUUUAUUCAAAUAGUUGCAAUAUCAUUUUUAAUAAAUGUUUUAAACACUCAAAUUUAUUUUAAAUUAUGAAAUGUGUGUUUUCCACUCAUCUACUGUAUUUUUAGUCGGGUUCGAAAAAUUUCGAGGAAAAAUGAAGAAAACGCCAUUGUGAGGCGAAAAUUAUUUUUCCAUGGUUUUGGAAGGGAAAAAGCUUGAAAUUCUUUAAAAACGAGGUUUGGCGAUGAUUACUCACAGGGGAGAUGAGAAAAAUGGUACUAAA